UCCGAAAGUCCGAGUCGGACCUCCGCUGGUUUUUUUCCGCGGUGAUAUUCCAAAAAAAGGUUAUCACCGGGUAAAAACUGGUAGAGGUCCGAUCCAGUCAG
RNAcentral lists this microRNA precursor (101 nucleotides) under Caenorhabditis briggsae. Its description in RNAcentral is "pre miRNA CBG29587". It matches the Rfam family "mir-36 microRNA precursor family". Lineage: Eukaryota; Metazoa; Nematoda; Chromadorea; Rhabditida; Rhabditidae. The record is from Rfam by way of RNAcentral.